CCUACGGGAGGCAGCAGUGGGGAAUAUUGGGCAAUGGGCGCAAGCCUGACCCAGCAACGCCGCGUGAAGGAAGAAGGCUUUCGGGUUGUAAACUUCUUUUCUCAGGGACGAAGAAAGUGACGGUACCUGAGGAAUAAGCCACGGCUAACUACGUGCCAGCAGCCGCGGUAAUACGUAGGUGGCAAGCGUUAUCCGGAUUUAUUGGGUGUAAAGGGCGUGUAGGCGGGAGCGCAAGUCAGAUGUGAAAACUCAGGGCUCAACCCUGAGCCUGCAUUUGAAACUGUGUUUCUUGAGUGCUGGGGAGGCAAUCGGAAUUCCGUGUGUAGCGGUGAAAUGCGUAGAUAUACGGAGGAACACCAGUGGCGAAGGCGGAUUGUUGGACAGUAACUGACGCUGGGGCGCGAAAGCGUGGGGAGAAAACAGGAUUAGAUACCCGGGUAGUC
This 443-nucleotide ribosomal RNA is filed under the name uncultured bacterium. RNAcentral describes it as "partial 16S ribosomal RNA". It matches the Rfam family "Bacterial small subunit ribosomal RNA", at positions 338 to 795 of the family's 1533-position model. The record is from RNAcentral.